This 477-nucleotide ribosomal RNA is filed under the name uncultured bacterium. RNAcentral describes it as "bacterial SSU rRNA". It matches the Rfam family "Bacterial small subunit ribosomal RNA", at positions 28 to 507 of the family's 1533-position model. The record is from RNAcentral.
GAUGAACGCUAGCUACAGGCUUAACACAUGCAAGUCGUAGCGGUUUGUGCUUUUGCACAUUCAGCGGCAGACGGGUGAGUAACACGUAUCUAACCUUCCCCUUACUUGGGCAUAGCCUCUGGAAACGGAGAUUAAUUUCCGAUGUGGUGUACAUUUCGCAUGUUUUGCGCACCAAAGAUUUAUCGGUAAGGGAUGGGGAUGCGCUCCAUUAGGUAGUAGGUAGGGUAAUGGCCUACCUAGCCUAUGAUGGAUAGGGGUUCUGAGAGGAAGGUCCCCCACAUUGGAACUGCGACACGGUCCAAACUCCUACGGGAGGCAGCAGUGAGGAAUAUUGGUCAAUGGCCGGAAGGCUGAACCAGCCAAGUAGCGUGCAGGAAGACUGCCUUAUGGGUUGUAAACUGCUUUUUUACGGGAAUAAUUAUGAUCACGUGUGAUUAUUUGCAUGUACCGUAAGAAUAAGGAUCGGCUAACUCCGUG